Molecule: long non-coding RNA, 410 nt
Filed under: Prunus dulcis (almond)
Lineage: Eukaryota; Viridiplantae; Streptophyta; Magnoliopsida; Rosales; Rosaceae
Description: sRNA ncRNA
Source: RNAcentral
AUGGUUCCCAGGGCUAAUUACGUGAUGAGUCUCUUCACCCUAGUGUUGUUGUUCUCAUCCGAAACAACGUUUGCCGGAGUUUCUUACUUUUCAGAAACCAGUUAGUCUCUUUUCCAAAAAAAUAUAUAUACAUACUAUGUAUGUUCGUAUUCAAUGAAACUUCAGUAUUUUACCGAAAAACUGUAUUCGGAUAUUUUUAUUUAUGUAUUAAAUCUCUCUCUAGAAGGGCCAUGUUUAUGUGUAAUGUAUGUAUACAUUGAUCAAUUUUUUAUUAUUAAUCAAGUUUUUUUAUUGUCAUUGCAGAGGACAACAAAGGUAGCGAGCUUCUGAAGAUGAAUAAUAUUAACAUGGCAAAGAAAAUACGCGGAAAUUCAGGCCGAGCUACCGUGCCUUCAGGCAUCGUCUCAUAG